Molecule: ribosomal RNA, 496 nt
Filed under: uncultured bacterium
Lineage: Bacteria
Description: partial 16S ribosomal RNA
Rfam family: Bacterial small subunit ribosomal RNA
Source: RNAcentral
GAUGAACGCUGGCGGCGUGCCUAAUACAUGCAAGUCGAGCGAACAGACGAGGAGCUUGCUCCUCUGACGUUAGCGGCGGACGGGUGAGUAACACGUGGAUAACCUACCUAUAAGACUGGGAUAACUUCGGGAAACCGGAGCUAAUACCGGAUAAUAUAUUGAACCGCAUGGUUCAAUAGUGAAAGACGGUUUUGCUGUCACUUAUAGAUGGAUCCGCGCCGCAUUAGCUAGUUGGUAAGGUAACGGCUUACCAAGGCAACGAUGCGUAGCCGACCUGAGAGGGUGAUCGGCCACACUGGAACUGAGACACGGUCCAGACUCCUACGGGAGGCAGCAGGAGGGAAUCUUCCGCAAUGGGCGAAAGCUUGACGGAGCAACGCCGCGUGAGUGAUGAAGGUCUUCGGAUCGUAAAACUCUGUUAUUAGGGAAGAACAAAUGUGUAAGUAACUAUGCACGUCUUGACGGUACCUAAUCAGAAAGCCACGGCUAACUACGU